Non-coding RNA from Araneus ventricosus, 71 nucleotides. The record is from the annotation of a GenBank genome assembly. NCBI's taxonomy places the organism in Eukaryota, Metazoa, Arthropoda, Arachnida, Araneae, Araneidae.
GGCUGUUUGGUGAGGUUGGUAAGACACAAAACUGCGGCUUUUGGUCCGAAGUUCAAUCCUUGGAUUAAUUA